CAGCAGCCGCGGGAAAACAGAGGGUGCAAGCGUUAAUCGGAAUUACUGGGCGUAAAGCGCGCGUAGGUGGUUUGUUAAGUUGGAUGUGAAAUCCCCGGGCUCAACCUGGGAACUGCAUCCAAAACUGGCAAGCUAGAGUAUGGUAGAGGGUGGUGGAAUUUCCUGUGUAGCGGUGAAAUGCGUAGAUAUAGGAAGGAACACCAGUGGCGAAGGCGACCACCUGGACUGAUACUGACACUGAGGUGCGAAAGCGUGGGGAGCAAACAGGAUUAGAUACCCGCGUAGUCCCUGUCUCUUAUAC
Molecule: ribosomal RNA, 301 nt
Filed under: uncultured bacterium
Lineage: Bacteria
Description: partial 16S ribosomal RNA
Rfam family: Bacterial small subunit ribosomal RNA
Source: RNAcentral